RNAcentral lists this unclassified non-coding RNA (371 nucleotides) under uncultured Ascomycota. Its description in RNAcentral is "sequence contains ITS2". The stretch from base 1 to 154 matches the Rfam family "5.8S ribosomal RNA". Lineage: Eukaryota; Fungi; Ascomycota. The record is from RNAcentral.
AACUUUUAACAAUGGAUCACUUGGUUCUGACAUCGAUGAAGAACGCAGCGAAAUGCGAUAAGUAAUGUGAAUUGCAGAAUUCAGUGAAUCAUCGAAUCUUUGAACGCACAUUGCGCCCGUUAGUACUCUAGCGGGCAUGCCUAUUCGAGCGUCAUUUCAACCCUCGGGCACCUGGCUGCCCGGCGUUGGGGCUCCGGCUCUUAGGAGGCGGUCCCUGAAAUUCAGCGGCGGGCUCACUGUUGCUCCCGGCGUAGUAGUUAUUUCUCGCUGCGGAGGGGCCGUGGGCGCCUGCCGGAACCCAUAUUUUACAGGUUGACCUCGGAUUAGGUAGGAAUACCCGCUGAACUUAAGCAUAUCAAUAAGCGGAGGCU